AUUGAACGCUGGCGGCAGGCCUAACACAUGCAAGUCGAGCGGAUGAAGGGAGCUUGCUCCUGGAUUCAGCGGCGGACGGGUGAGUAAUGCCUAGGAAUCUGCCUGGUAGUGGGGGAUAACGUCUGGAAACGGGCGCUAAUACCGCAUACGUCCUGAGGGAGAAAGUGGGGGAUCUUCGGACCUCACGCUAUCAGAUGAGCCUAGGUCGGAUUAGCUAGUUGGUGGGGUAAAGGCCUACCAAGGCGACGAUCCGUAACUGGUCUGAGAGGAUGAUCAGUCACACUGGAACUGAGACACGGUCCAGACUCCUACGGGAGGCAGCAGUGGGGAAUAUUGGACAAUGGGCGAAAGCCUGAUCCAGCCAUGCCGCGUGUGUGAAGAAGGUCUUCGGAUUGCAAAGCACUUUAAGUUGGGAGGAAGGGCAGUAAGUUAAUACCUUGCUGUUUUGACGUUACCAACAGAAUAAGCACCGGCUAACUUCGUG
RNAcentral lists this ribosomal RNA (484 nucleotides) under uncultured bacterium. RNAcentral describes it as "partial 16S ribosomal RNA". It matches the Rfam family "Bacterial small subunit ribosomal RNA", at positions 30 to 507 of the family's 1533-position model. The record is from RNAcentral.